CCGAUCUUAGCUCAGUUGGAAGAGCGCGAGACUGUAAUGGAUAAUUUCAUCUUGAGGUCGCCUGUUCGAGCCAGGCAGAUCGGA
Molecule: transfer RNA, 84 nt
Organism: Paxillus involutus ATCC 200175
Lineage: Eukaryota; Fungi; Basidiomycota; Agaricomycetes; Boletales; Paxillaceae
Rfam family: tRNA
About the family: Transfer RNA (tRNA) molecules are approximately 80 nucleotides in length.
Source: Rfam